AAUACUAUAUAAAAAAUAGGUGUUAUAAAUAUAACUCAAUAAGGAAAUCGGUCAGAAUCCGAUACAGCCCCCUCUACUGUGAAACUGACGAAAGUAUAAAAACCACUGAAUUAUUUUCGGGAAGGAUACGAGUAGGAUGAUGUUAGUCAGGAGACUUACCUAUUUAGAAAUUAUAAA
RNAcentral lists this non-coding RNA (177 nucleotides) under Pseudoleptotrichia goodfellowii. The record is from RNAcentral. Lineage: Bacteria; Fusobacteriati; Fusobacteriota; Fusobacteriia; Fusobacteriales; Leptotrichiaceae. RNAcentral also lists the same sequence under 1 other name.